CGAGAGAGCCAGGCGAUCGCCGUCCACCGCAAGGUGGAGGGAGGAAAGUCCGAACUCCGCAGGGCAGUGCGCCGGGUAACGCCCGGUCGGGGCAACCCGAAGGACAGUGGCACAGAAAACAUACCGCCGGCCCGCGCCGAAAGGCGCGGGCCUAGUCGCGCGCCACGGGCGCGCGACGGGCAAGGGUGAAAAGGUGCGGUAAGAGCGCACCGCGUCCGUGGCAACACGGGUGGCAGGCAAAACCCCGCACGGAGCAAGGCCAAAUAGGGAGGCGCCAGGCGGCCGCGUAUGCGGCCCGCCUGAUGAGACGGCCCGUCUCAGGCUUCCGGGUAGGCUGCUCGAUCCCGUCAGCGAUGACGGGGCUAGAGGAAUGAUCGUCGUCCGCGCCUGAGCUCGAUGGGCGAAGGCGCGGAACAGAAUUCGGCUUACGGGGCUCUCGGCGG
RNAcentral lists this RNase P RNA (443 nucleotides) under Acidobacteriota bacterium. RNAcentral describes it as "Acidobacteria bacterium RNase P RNA component class A". It matches the Rfam family "Bacterial RNase P class A". From Rfam's summary of the family: Ribonuclease P (RNase P) is a ubiquitous endoribonuclease, found in archaea, bacteria and eukarya as well as chloroplasts and mitochondria. Its best characterised activity is the generation of mature 5'-ends of tRNAs by cleaving the 5'-leader elements of precursor-tRNAs. Cellular RNase Ps are ribonucleoproteins. The record is from RNAcentral. Lineage: Bacteria; Pseudomonadati; Acidobacteriota.